This 1040-nucleotide ribosomal RNA is filed under the name uncultured Flexibacter sp. RNAcentral's name for it is "bacterial SSU rRNA". It matches the Rfam family "Bacterial small subunit ribosomal RNA", at positions 9 to 1061 of the family's 1533-position model. Lineage: Bacteria; Pseudomonadati; Bacteroidota; Cytophagia; Cytophagales; Flexibacteraceae. The record is from RNAcentral.
GAGUUUGAUCCUGGCUCAGGAUGAACGCUAGCGGCAGGCCUAACACAUGCAAGUCGAGGGGCAGCGGGGAUAAGCUUGCUUAUCCGCCGGCGACCGGCGCACGGGUGCGCAACGCGUAUAGAAUCUGCCCUGUACUGGGGAAUAGCCCAGAGAAAUUUGGAUUAAUGCCCCAUAGUAUGUAUUAGCGGCAUCGCUAUUACAUUAAAGGCUACGGUACAGGAUGACUAUGCGUCCCAUUAGUUAGUUGGUAAGGUAACGGCUUACCAAGGCGGCGAUGGGUAGGGGCCCUGAGAGGGGGAUCCCCCACACUGGUACUGAGACACGGACCAGACUCCUACGGGAGGCAGCAGUGAGGAAUAUUGGACAAUGGGCGGGAGCCUGAUCCAGCCAUGCCGCGUGCAGGAAGACGGUCCUAUGGAUUGUAAACUGCUUUUGUACGGGAAGAACAAGGGGCACGUGUGCCCUUCUGACGGUACCGUAAGAAUAAGGAUCGGCUAACUCCGUGCCAGCAGCCGCGGUAAUACGGAGGAUCCGAGCGUUAUCCGGAAUCAUUGGGUUUAAAGGGUCCGUAGGCGGGCCAUUAAGUCAGGGGUGAAAGUCUGCGGCUCAACCGUAGAAUUGCCCUUGAUACUGGUGGUCUUGAGUUAUGGUGAAGUAGCUAGAAUAUGUAGUGUAGCGGUGAAAUGCAUAGAUAUUACAUAGAAUACCGAUUGCGAAGGCAGGUUACUAACCAUAUACUGACGCUGAUGGACGAAAGCGUGGGGAGCGAACAGGAUUAGAUACCCUGAUAGUCCACGCCGUAACGAUGGAUACUAGCUGUCCGGGUGCAAAUCUGGGCGGCCAAGCGAAAGUGAUAAGUAUCCCACCUGGGGAGUACGUCCGCAAGGAUGAAACUCAAAGGAAUUGACGGGGGCCCGCACAAGCGGUGAGCAUGUGAUUUAAUUCGAUGAUACGCGAGACCUUACCAGGCUUAAUGUGGUCUGACAGCUUAGAGAAAGAGCUCUUCGGACAUCCACAGUGCUGCAUGAUGUCGUCAGCUC